AUUGAACGCUGGCGGUAUGCCUUACACAUGCAAGUCGAACGGUAACAGGUCUUCGGAUGCUGACGAGUGGCGAACGGGUGAGUAAUACAUCGGAACGUGCCCAGACGUGGGGGAUAACGAGGCGAAAGCUUUGCUAAUACCGCAUACGAUCUAAGGAUGAAAGCAGGGGACCGCAAGGCCUUGUGCGUUUGGAGCGGCCGAUGGCAGAUUAGGUAGUUGGUGGGAUAAAAGCUUACCAAGCCGACGAUCUGUAGCUGGUCUGAGAGGACGACCAGCCACACUGGGACUGAGACACGGCCCAGACUCCUACGGGAGGCAGCAGUGGGGAAUUUUGGACAAUGGGCGAAAGCCUGAUCCAGCAAUGCCGCGUGCAGGAUGAAGGCCUUCGGGUUGUAAACUGCUUUUGUACGGAACGAAAAGGCUCUGGCUAAUACCUGGGGCACAUGACGGUACCGUAAGAAUAAGCACCGGCUAACUACGUG
RNAcentral lists this ribosomal RNA (482 nucleotides) under uncultured bacterium. RNAcentral's name for it is "partial 16S ribosomal RNA". It matches the Rfam family "Bacterial small subunit ribosomal RNA", at positions 30 to 507 of the family's 1533-position model. The record is from RNAcentral.